AUCUGCCGGGGGAGGACGUUUGCCGGUUACACGGGGGUCAGCAAGUGGUGGGUGUGUUGUAGAGUCACUCGAAGAGGGUAAAUCCGCAGGAGUCAUGGGUGGAUUCGCGUGGGUGACCCUGGCCACAAAUGAUUCCUAUUCCUUGGGAGCUCUGGUCCUGGCACACUCGUUACGUCGAGUCGGGGCUAAACACGAUUUAGCGGUCUUAGUUACACCGGGUGUAACGGAUGUCAUGAGGGAAAAAUUGGCGGCAGUGUUCUCAUUGGUACAAGAGGUGAACGUGCUCGACUCGAAGGACGAAACGAACCUGGCUCUUCUGGCAAGACCCGAGUUGGGCAUCACGUUCACAAAACUGCACUGUUGGAGACUCACACAGUACGAGAAAUGCGUGUUCCUCGAUGCCGACACGUUGGUGAUCCGAAAUUGCGACGAGUUGUUCGAGCGAGAAGAAUUGUCGGCGGCACCCGACGUUGGCUGGCCCGAUUGCUUCAAUUCCGGCGUUUUCGUCUUCAAGCCCUCUCAACAGACUUUUGCAUCCAUCACCGCGUUCGCCGCCGCGAAGGGUUCCUUCGACGGCGGCGACCAGGGAUUGCUGAAUUCCUAUUUCAGCGACUGGGCCCACAAAGACAUCUCCAAGCAUCUGCCCUUCAUCUACAACAUGUGCUCCACCGCGACGUACUCCUAUCUUCCUGCAUUCAAGCAAUUCGGCGAGGAUGUCAGGAUCAUUCAUUUCAUCGGCGCCGCAAAACCGUGGCUUCAAUAUUUCGACACCGUGACCGGCAUCGUUCAGCCGCCACCGGAUUGCAACCACUUGCAGCCACUUUUGCAAAACUGGUGGAAUAUAUUCUGUGAGCACGUACACCCUCAGUUGUCCCCCGUUAUGGCCAGGAGCACUUUGGCAUCACUUUGGCACGAAAUCAUUCCCCCGCCGUUGCACAUCCCUCCCCAAUUGCCUCCCUCCUCCGAUAACGACAAGUUAACGGCCGACAGUGUUAGGAAGCCAGAUUUCUCCGAGUUUAAGGACCCUUGGGAAACGUACGUUCCGCACCGCGAUCAUUUCCCGAGCGACGAUAAGCAGGAAGGUGAUAAUCAUCGAUAUUACUGUCCGGUCUGCCACGAGUGUCAAUAUCAAUCGCCUCAAGACGAAAGCCGCUGUCAGAACUCAUCGAGCCCGACAUACGAGACCGUUCAACCCGUUCCGCGAUACUACAUUGCGCAACAAAACCAUAGUCAGUCCGUUUCCGAAUAUUAUCCACCCGCUCCAAGUGAAGAGGUCCCAUACAGCGAUCAAAGCCAUCCCCAGGAACACCAUCCUCCACCGCGACCGGAAAUUCAUUACGACUCUUCCCACGAUCAUUGUCACGUGCUACAUCAACCUCCACCUGUUCAUCAAGCUCGACAUCACGAUAAUCGUCAGCAGCGUCAAGAGGAACGGCCCGAAAGUCCCCGCGCGCACGAUCGGGACGAAAAUCGCGAACGUCAUCAAGAUUUUCAUCAUCGGCAUCACAUACGCGAACAUCAACAUUCUCAGACUCAGGUACACGAACACGAUCGUUCCUAUCAUCCUCGUCAUCAUCCUCCCCAGCAGGAGCAACAUCAUCAUCCUCAUCAGCAUAGGUAUCACCAUCAAGAACGUACCCACGAUUUCUCUCAUGAUAAGACUUCGCACCAUCACCGUCAGCAUCAUGAAAGUCGUCAUCGUGAACACGCGCACCCUGAAGAGCAUCAUCCGCGUCAUCGCGAUCAUUUUCCUGACGAGCAAAGGAAGGAGCACGUUGAGCAUCGUCACGUGGAAAACCGUAUUCCAGAACAUGUACAUAAUCAUCGGGAUAGCGAUUAUAGCAAUGUGGGAGAUAGAGUUACCUGCCCAGUGACGAACUGGCAGAGCGAUCACGAGACGGUCCGUGACGAUAUGACCGACGGACGGACCGACGAUCACGUACAAAGUGUUCCCCCUCCCUGUGAAUCCUGCACUGUACCCGCAAUUGUAGCAACACAGUCCAAUCAGAAAUUAACGGGGCGACUAGAAAAUAAAGAUACUGGGCUUGCGGGCGCCCUGGCAAAACUGACUUUGGGCGAGGCCAGGAGUCCGGAGCAAAUCGCCUUCGAGGAGCACAUGAGAAAGCAGAGCUGGGAACAGGGCCAAAUCGAUUACAUGGGCCGCGACAGUUUCGAGAAUAUCUGGAAGAAGAUCUUGGAGACCCUUUCCCGGCCCCCCCAGAAGCAGAAGAGCCCACCCAAGGAAGUGGAUGAAGCAACGGCCUCGAAGGAAACUACAAAGACCGAAACGAGCGAAACCGCUUCUACCGAACCUGAGGAGCAAACGGCUGAUCUCUUGUCAGGAGCAGAGGAGAGCAACUAACAGACCAUGGCGCCAUAGCAUUGCUGCGUCUUGUAUUGUCGUUUUGCUUUACUGGGUUAUAGCUACGGAAACACUGUCGGAAAAACCUGUCUCAACGUCUGUAGCAGAAACGGCGCCAAAAGUUCCCGGACCACCUCUCGACCCCGUCCCUCCCGCACAAUCCUCCACAGGAACGCCCAAGACCCCCGAAGUA
RNAcentral lists this unclassified non-coding RNA (2555 nucleotides) under Orussus abietinus. RNAcentral's name for it is "cardiomyopathy-associated protein 5, transcript variant X4". Lineage: Eukaryota; Metazoa; Arthropoda; Insecta; Hymenoptera; Orussidae. The record is from RNAcentral.